This 408-nucleotide ribosomal RNA is filed under the name uncultured rumen bacterium. RNAcentral describes it as "bacterial SSU rRNA". It matches the Rfam family "Bacterial small subunit ribosomal RNA", at positions 354 to 776 of the family's 1533-position model. The record is from RNAcentral.
GUGGGGGAUAUUGCACAAUGGGGGAAACCCUGAUGCAGCAACGCCGCGUGAGGGAUGAAGGUUUUCGGAUUGUAAACCUCUGUCCUUAGUGAAGAAAAAAAUGACGGUAACUAAGGAGGAAGCUCCGGCUAACUACGUGCCAGCAGCCGCGGUAAUACGUAGGGAGCGAGCGUUGUCCGGAUUUAUUGGGUGUAAAGGGUGCGUAGGCGGCUAUGUAAGUCAGACGUGUAAUGCAGGGGCUUAACCUCUGAACUGCGUUUGAAACUGUGUAGCUUGAGUGGAGUAGAGGCAGAUGGAAUUUCCAGUGUAGCGGUGAAAUGCGUAGAUAUUGGAAGGAACACCAGUGGCGAAGGCGAUCUGCUGGGCUCUAACUGACGCUGAGGCACGAAAGCAUGGGGAGCAAACAGG